This 1461-nucleotide long non-coding RNA is filed under the name Anas platyrhynchos platyrhynchos (common mallard). RNAcentral's name for it is "lncRNA (ENSAPLG00000018934.1)". Lineage: Eukaryota; Metazoa; Chordata; Aves; Anseriformes; Anatidae. The record is from RNAcentral.
UGGUGUUUGAAAUCUGACAUUUAACCUUCUUUUAUCUUCAUUUGAAAAAAGCAUGAGAACUCUCCAACAGAGGAGGAGGGAGGGAAAGAAAUGUUGUUUGGCUCAGAGUUCUGCUCUUUCUCAGUCAAGCAUUGAAAACUGUUGUCCAAAGUACGCUGAGAAUUAGGGAACAGCAAAUUUGUGCAAUUGAAAACAGUUAUGUAAAUUGAAAUGCCAAAUUUCCUGUGCCAGAUGCAAUAUGAAUUCACUGUAGGGCAAGAACUAUCAUUAGAGCUCCCUAGGAAAGGAACUAGAAUAGCAAAGUAAUGAUUUUAGGGUAAUAUGCUGAUGUUAUUUGAAAGCUGGGAUCGGGAUGCAAACAUUUGUGCAACAUUUUGUUUUACACAGUCCCUUGUUAAUGCAUCUGGUAUUCAUUUUAAUACCACUAAUCCUAAUGGAUUCAUUUAGUACUCAUGUGGAUGUCAUAUGCACUUCCUGUAGGUGUUGUGCUGUGAUGAAGUACUGGUUACUGGACACUUAAAGUGUUACCACAUUUCCUCUGAUUAUGUAAAUUUUUUCCUAAGCUGUCACAAUAAAAUUCUUCCUGGUACAUGUUAGCAGAAGCAGCUGUAUACGAAACCAUUGUAUCAGCAGUAUUUGAAUAAUGUCAUGGCUAGGGGGAUUCAAGCCUAAUAGACAAAGCAUUCAGUUAUCCUGGCAGUAAGUGUACUUUGAAAGUAUUUCAAGAAAACAGUCUUGGAUGCAUGCAAGAAUAGAGCAAACAGACAGGUUUUGUCAAGGUGAAAAAAUCAGGAAAAAAAAAAAAAUGGUGUGUGAGGGGGCAAUAAAUCAGUAUUCACUUUAUCUAGAAGAAAUUUAUUUCCCAGUUUUUGUGUGGACCAAGGAAUGUGAAUGGGGGAGUGGGGCACUGUGGUUUGGUCAGCUAGAUGCUUGCUGUAAUUCUGUCUUCAGAUUUUUAUUUUUAUUUUUUUCAGAUUGGCCGAUCCUAUAUGUUUGUGAAGUUUGUAACAGCAUUUAUUCAGAACUACAGUCUCCCUGGUAGUCCCUCUUAAAAUAUCAGAAAGCAAUUCUAAUAUAAGCAAGCAUCUAUGGAGACAUCUAUGGUUUUGUACAACUAUUUUAUGACUGUGAACCCUGCCACCUGCCCCUCCCUACAAGGUGUGUAUGGCUAUGUCUUUGCAUGAAGAAAUAUGUUAUUUCCUGUGACAAUGUAUAUUAUCAUAACAUUGAGAUAAUGAGUUAUUAUUGCCUGUUAAAAACCACUUUUUACCUUGAGGCUACUUUUCACCUUCUUGGUCUCCUGGAAAAUAGCUGAGGUUGUAAAGGGAACUUUAUAUAGCUCGUGUGCUAUUUUAUAGCAUCAAAAAGGAAAUGCUGGAAUGUGCUUUCUUUUAUAUUCUUUCUAUUUUAUUUAUUCACUUAUUUAUGCUGAGUUACAGCUCAGGUCACCUGUUAAUAGGC